This 253-nucleotide ribosomal RNA is filed under the name uncultured bacterium. RNAcentral's name for it is "partial 16S ribosomal RNA". It matches the Rfam family "Bacterial small subunit ribosomal RNA", at positions 524 to 776 of the family's 1533-position model. The record is from RNAcentral.
UACAGAGGUCUCAAGCGUUGUUCGGAUUCAUUGGGCGUAAAGGGUGCGUAGGUGGCGGGGUAAGUCAGGUGUGAAAUCUCGGAGCUCAACUCCGAAACUGCACUUGAUACUGCCUUGCUCGAGUACUGGAGAGGAGAUUGGAAUUUACGGUGUAGCAGUGAAAUGCGUAGAUAUCGUAAGGAAGACCAGUGGCGAAGGCGAAUCCCUGGACAGUUACUGACACUGAGGCACGAAGGCCAGGGGAGCAAACGGG